GGUUGUUUGGCCGAGCGGUCUAAGGCGUCCGAUUCAAGUUAGCAAAGUUAACUUUUCAACUGUUUAUUAAGCGGUAGAACACUCGGAUAUCGUAAGAUGCAAGAGUUCGAAUCUCUUAGCAACCA
This 125-nucleotide transfer RNA is filed under the name Hanseniaspora osmophila. It matches the Rfam family "tRNA". From Rfam's summary of the family: Transfer RNA (tRNA) molecules are approximately 80 nucleotides in length. Their secondary structure includes four short double-helical elements and three loops (D, anti-codon, and T loops). Lineage: Eukaryota; Fungi; Ascomycota; Saccharomycetes; Saccharomycodales; Saccharomycodaceae. The record is from Rfam by way of RNAcentral.